GUGCCAGGGUACAGACUCUUAAUUCCUUCUGGAAUACUGAGAGUGCCGGGAAAUGACAGCUUAAUGUUCAGGGUACGUCUUAGUUUGUCUUGGAUCUUGUGACAGGGACAGCUGCAUUAGUCUUGGAGUGAAAGUGUAUCUGAGUAUGUUGGGCCACAUUUGCAGUAGUUUGUUCUGAACUCCAGAGCUAUUGACCAAGCCCGUCCUGCCUUCUGAGGUAUGGAAGACACUGAGGCCUCCUGACCCACGGCACAGCAUUCUCUGCUUCCAGCGCGUCUGCCUUGGGCCAUCACCCCAGAGAGUUUGAUCAAGACCCAAGCCUAAUCCAGGUCCUACCCUUCUCAGCCCCCAUCCCACUUGGGUUUAUUUACUUAUUCAAACAAACAUCAAAUGAGCAUCUACAUAUUAGGAUUCUAGAUAGGGGUGUGGGGUCAGUGUGCAGGGACGGCAGCAUAGAAGAGGGACUUUGGUUGAGACUUGAAGGAUGAAUAGGAGUUUGCCAAAGGGUCAAAGGAUAGGAAGCUAUUUGAGGAAGAAGAAACUGCAUAUACUACACAAAUAUACAGAGGACCCUGGUCAGCCAUGUGGUUGGAGCACAAAGUGAAAAGUGAGGAGAGAGGGAGAAGAGAGACUUGAACAGGGAAGCAGAGAACAACAGAUGGAAGAUCUUGUAGCUGAGCUAAGGAGUAUGAAUUUUUUUCCCCUAGGAUGGAAAAACACAGAAGUUUUUUCAAAUUUCCAAGUAGGAAGUUAUGAUUCCAAAAAAAAGAAAAAGAAAAAGAAAAGAAGGCUUUUUCUAAUUAGAAAGGUCAGGUUAGUGGCAUUGUGGAAGACGGAUUGGACAGGGGCAAAAGUAGACCCAGGGAGACUAGUCAGUCUAGCCAGUCAGCCAACAAGUGUUUUGUAAGUUCUGUAGUAGGUUAAAUAGUUGCUUCCCCCACUCCAAAAGUUAUGCCCAUGUCCCAGAACCCGUGAAUGUGACCUUAUUUGGAAAACAGAACUUUAAAGAUGUAAUCAAGUUAAGGAUCUCAGGAUCCUUGAUUAUCUGAUGGGCCUUAAAUCCAAUGGCAAAUGUCCUUAAAAGAAACAAAUGCAAGAGAAGGCCACUGAAGACAGAGGCAGAGAUUGCAGUGAUGCAGCCAUAAGCCAAGGAAUGCCCGGAAAUGUCAGAAGCAGAAAGAGCAGAUUCUCCCUUCAAGCCUUCAGAGGGAGUGUGGCCCUGCUGACAUCUUGACAUCAAACCUCUAGCCUCCAGAACAAUGAGAAUAAAUUUAUGUUGCCUUAUGCC
RNAcentral lists this long non-coding RNA (1288 nucleotides) under Homo sapiens (human). RNAcentral's name for it is "novel transcript". Lineage: Eukaryota; Metazoa; Chordata; Mammalia; Primates; Hominidae. The record is from RNAcentral.